RNAcentral lists this unclassified non-coding RNA (2704 nucleotides) under Trichogramma pretiosum. Its description in RNAcentral is "armadillo segment polarity protein-like, transcript variant X4". Lineage: Eukaryota; Metazoa; Arthropoda; Insecta; Hymenoptera; Trichogrammatidae. The record is from RNAcentral.
ACAGUACUGCGCAGUGUGUAUAGUGACUCCGAACUCGCCCGCAACUUAUAUCCACGAUGUACGCGUCAUAAUAAUAACAACAACACACAGUGAGAGCGAGCAGCAGCAUACAACACAAGUGAUUCGUGAGAGCCAGUUCUGUGUGUGACUCAUUCGCAGGUUUAGGGCUUUGCGGACUUGGGCCUCUUGCUGCUGCUAACAUAUCGUUUUUGCGAUUAAAUGCAGUAUGUUUUAACGGGACACCGUUGAAUUCGCAAUCUUUUGGGUGAAAUUAAAAAAUCAAUCCAGCAAUCAUGAGUUAUCAAAUGCCGCAGAAUCAAUCCAGACCAAUCUCGCAUUCAAACUACCAGCAAGGUUCAUUGGACCUUCCAAUGAGCUCUAGUAAGGAACAAACUCUAAUGUGGCAACAAAACUCUUACAUGGGCGAUUCAGGCAUCCACUCGGGUGCUGCAACUCAAGCCCCAUCUCUUAGUGGCAAAGAAGAUGAUGAAAUUGAGGGUGAUCAACUUAUGUUUGACCUUGAUUCUGGUUUUACUCAAGGUUUUACUCAAGAUCAAGUUGAUGAAAUGAAUUCUCAACUAAGUCAUACUCGCUCUCAGCGAGUUCGGGCUGCAAUGUUUCCUGAAACUCUAGAAGAAGGCAUUGAAAUACCAUCGACUCAAUUUGAUACUGCUCAACCAACUGCUGUUCAAAGGCUUUCUGAACCCAGUCAAAUGUUGAAACAUGCUGUUGUUAAUUUAAUCAAUUAUCAAGAUGAUGCUGAUCUUGCUACUCGUGCUAUCCCAGAGCUCAUUAAAUUGCUUAAUGAUGAAGAUCAAGUUGUUGUUUCCCAAGCUGCUAUGAUGGUUCAUCAACUUUCUAAAAAAGAAGCUUCGCGACAUGCCAUAAUGAACAGUUCUCAGAUGGUUGCUGCUUUGGUACGAGCUAUUUCUAAUAGUGAAGAUUUAGAAUCUACAAAAGCAGCUGUUGGUACUCUGCACAAUUUGUCCCAUCACAAACAAGGCUUGUUGGCCAUUUUCAAGAGUGCUGGUAUACCAGCUUUAGUAAAAUUACUCAGUUCUAAUAUUGAAUCAGUGCUGUUCUAUGCUAUCACUACUUUGCACAAUCUUUUACUUCACCAAGAUGGCUCAAAAAUGGCUGUUCGUUUAGCUGGGGGCCUCCAGCGAAUGGUUUUAUUGCUACAACGUAACAAUGUUAAAUUUUUGGCAAUUGUCACAGAUUGUUUACAAAUUCUUGCUUAUGCAAAUCAAGAAAGUAAACUUAUUAUUCUUGCUAGUCAAGGACCAGUAGAACUUGUACGUAUCAUGAGAACUUAUGAUUAUGAGAAGCUAUUAUGGACGACUUCUAGAGUGCUUAAAGUACUCUCGGUUUGUCCAAGCAACAAGCCGGCCAUCGUCGAAGCUGGAGGUAUGCAAGCUCUUGCAAUGCAUUUAGGCAAUCCCAGUCAACGCCUUGUACAAAAUUGUUUAUGGACUUUGCGUAAUCUUUCCGAUGCCGGAACUAAAGUUGAUGGUCUCGAAAAUCUUCUUCAAGGUCUUGUUCAACUUCUCGCGUCUUCUGAUGUCAAUGUUGUUACUUGCGCGGCGGGCAUUUUAUCCAAUCUCACCUGCAAUAAUCAACGCAACAAAGUCACCGUGUGUCAAGUUGGAGGUGUAGAUGCUCUUGUUCGCACGAUUGUCAGUGCAGGCGAUCGUGAAGAAAUUACAGAACCAGCCGUAUGUGCUUUGCGUCAUUUAACUUCCCGUCAUAUCGAAGCUGAAAUGGCCCAAAAUUCAGUACGUCUGAAUUAUGGUAUUCAAGUGAUUGUCAAAUUACUGCAGCCACCAUCAAGAUGGCCAUUGGUUAAAGCAGUUAUUGGAUUGAUCAGAAAUUUAGCUCUUUGCCCAGCCAAUCAUGGUCCACUGAGGGAAGCUAUUCAUCAUCUGGUUCGAUUAUUACUUCGUGCAUUCCAGGAUACUCAAAGACAACGGUCCUCGGUAACCAGUGGAGGUAGUGGUAGUGGCCAUGGUAUUUAUGCAGAUGGAGUACGUAUGGACGAGAUCGUCGAGUGUACUGUUGGUGCACUUCACAUUCUUGCAAGAGAAUCGCACAACAGAACUAUGAUUAGAUCUCAAAAUGUUAUUCCGAUUUUCGUUCAGCUAUUAUUCCACGAGAUCGAAAAUGUCCAACGCGUCGCCGCUGGCGUGCUUUGUGAACUGGCGGCUGACAAGGAAGGAGCUGAAAUGAUCGAACAAGAGGGAGCAACUGCACCUUUGACAGAAUUAUUGCAUUCACGUAACGAGGGUGUAGCAACAUAUGCUGCUGCUGUACUAUUCCGUAUGAGCGACGAUAAACCACAAGAUUAUAAAAAACGCUUAUCCCUUGAACUAACUAAUUCUCUGUCGUGUCGCGAGGAUAACAACAUGUGGAAUAACGCCGAUUUUGGGAUGGGCCCUGAUUUACAGGACAUGCUGAACUGUGGUAACGAUCAAACCUACGAGGGCAUGUAUGGGCAUCAAGGACCACCAAGUAUACGUAGCAAUCACGGGCAAUUGUACAAUCCUCAGGUUUAACCAAUGGAUUAAAUAAUAAGUAAAAGGCUAUCAGCAAUAUCUCGCAGAGUUACAUCCUAGGAGUUACGAUCAGAUUCCAGUAGAUUCAAUGCAAGGCCUAGAAAUAGGAGGUACGUCGACUUAUGCCACUAUGGAUGCAAUGGAUGUGACUA